This is an RNA transcript of Nycticebus coucang (slow loris), 1151 nucleotides long. It is a transcript of the gene named G/T mismatch-specific thymine DNA glycosylase-like, with no coding region annotated. The record is from RefSeq and is a predicted model, not a curated record. NCBI's taxonomy places the organism in Eukaryota, Metazoa, Chordata, Mammalia, Primates, Lorisidae. The transcript has 2 exons.
CUAUUCCCUUUAGCCGCCUCCAGGUUUCUAUACCUUUCUGUUUCAACAAAUGAUGGCUGAAGCUCCUAAUGUGGCACUUCCGAGUGAAGAGCACAUGCCAGCAGAAGUUUCAGUGUCAGCUCCUACUCAGGAACCUGUACAAGAGGCACCCAAAGGAAGGAAAAGAAAAUCCAGAACAACAGAACCAAAAAAACCAGUGGAACCCAAAAAACCUGCUGAGUCAAAAAAAUCUCGCAAGUCCCCCAAAUCAAAAGAUAAGCAAGAAAAAAUUACAGACACGUUUAAAGUGAAAAGAAAAGUGGACCGUUUUAAUGGUGUUUCAGAAGCUGAACUUUUGACCAAGACUCUUCCUGAUAUCUUGACCUUCAAUCUGGACAUUGUCAUUAUCGGCAUAAACCCAGGACUCAUGGCUGCGUACAAAGAGCAUCAUUACCCUGGACCUGGAAACCAUUUUUGGAAGUGUUUGUUCAUGUCGGGGCUGAGUGAAGUCCAACUGAAUCAUAUGGAUGAUCAUACUUUACCAGGAAAGUAUGGUAUUGGGUUUACCAAUAUGGUGUAAAGGACAACACCGGGCAGCAAAGAUCUUUCUAGUAAAGAAUUUCGUGAAGAAGGACGCAUUCUAGUUCAGAAAUUACAGAAAUAUCAGCCACGAAUAGCAGUGUUUAAUGGAAAAUCUCUGUUACGUUAUGCCAUCAUCCAGUGCAAGGUGUGCUCAGUUUCCUCGAGCCCAGGACAAAGUUCAUUACUACAUUAAGCUGAAGGACUUAAGAGAUCAGUUGAAAGGCAUUGAACGAAAUACAGAUGUUCAAGAAGUGCGGUAUACAUUUGACCUACAGCUUGCAGAAGAGGAUGCAAAGAAGAUGGCUGUUAAGGAAGAAAAAUAUGAUCCAGGUUACGAAGCAGCAUACGGUGGUGCUUAUAAUGAAAAUCCAUGCGGUGGUGAACACUGCAGCUUCUCUUCAAAUGGGCUAAAGACAGAGGCGUUUAUGGAUUCCAGUCAGGCUUGGCUUCUGAUCCCAGAAGAACUGACCAUUCCCACAGAGAAUCCAAUCCCAGAGAUGUACUACCUCACCCUGAACCCCCUCCACACACAUAAUGAUGACCCAGGAGCCACCCUUUCAUUGGCAUCAACAGAGGGUUCCAGUCCAUAA